Molecule: non-coding RNA, 392 nt
Organism: Pelobates cultripes (western spadefoot toad)
Lineage: Eukaryota; Metazoa; Chordata; Amphibia; Anura; Pelobatidae
Source: the annotation of a GenBank genome assembly
AACCCAGCAAACGUGAUGCGACAGCCCUGUCUACAGACACUGCUGCCACUGGGGGAUUUGGGGACGCAUCCCAGGAGCAGGUGAACUCAGAGGAGUUCCAGGCGCUCCUGGAUGCUACGAUGAGUAGGUCAGUUACACAGGCCAUUUUUACCGCCAUGGGGGCGAUGUCGGACACCCUGUCCCACUCUAUCUCCUCCGCUAUCAGGGCAUCCAGCCACACCCCUGGCUCUGCACCCCCUAUAUCCUCUGAUAACAAGCCACUAGUCCCUAGCGGCCGCAAGGCUACGUGCAAAUCGCACCAUCUGCCAGGUGCUACCUCCAAAACCAGUAAGACGGACAGGUUGCGCCCUGUUGAGAUUGAUGACGUGGUGCUCCCACGUAAAAGAGCCCCC